RNAcentral lists this ribosomal RNA (337 nucleotides) under Haemaphysalis longicornis (longhorned tick). RNAcentral's name for it is "partial small subunit ribosomal RNA". Lineage: Eukaryota; Metazoa; Arthropoda; Arachnida; Ixodida; Ixodidae. The record is from RNAcentral.
AUUAUUUACCGGUCUAUAUUGUUAGUAUAUAAAUUGUAUGAAAACAAAAAAUUAUGGCGGUAUUUUAAGCUUUUCAGAGGAAUUUGCUCUUUAAUGGAUAAAACACCUAAAUCUUACUAAAUUUAGUUAAACAGUUUGUAUACCACUAUUUAAGUAAUAAUUUGCUAUUAUUACUAAAAUUUAUUAAUUAAAAAAAGUUAAGUCAAGGUGCAGCAUAAAUUUUAGUAUGAAGUGAAUUACAUUUCUUUUAAGAAAAAUUUGUUGAAAUAUAAAAUUUAGGAUUUGAAAGUAAAAUUUUAAUAGAAGGAAAAUUUGAAUUAAGCUCUAAAAUAUGUAC